RNAcentral lists this ribosomal RNA (506 nucleotides) under uncultured bacterium. RNAcentral describes it as "partial 16S ribosomal RNA". It matches the Rfam family "Bacterial small subunit ribosomal RNA", at positions 29 to 523 of the family's 1533-position model. The record is from RNAcentral.
AGUGAAUGCUGGCGGCAGGCCUAACACAUGCAAGUCGAACGGCAGCACAGGAGAGCUUGCUCUCUGGGUGGCGAGUGGCGGACGGGUGAGGAAUACAUCGGAAUCUACUCUGUCGUGGGGGAUAACGUAGGGAAACUUACGCUAAUACCGCAUACGACCUACGGGUGAAAGCAGGGGACCUUCGGGCCUUGCGCGAUUGAAUGAGCCGAUGUCGGAUUAGCUAGUUGGCGGGGUAAAGGCCCACCAAGGCGACGAUCCGUAGCUGGUCUGAGAGGAUGAUCAGCCAACAUGGAACUGAGACACGGUCCAGACUCCUACGGGAGGCAGCAGUGGGGAAUAUUGGACAAUGGGCGCAAGCCUGAUCCAGCCAUACCGCGUGGGUGAAGAAGGCCUUCGGGUUGUAAAGCCCUUUUGUUGGGAAAGAAAUCCAGCUGGCUGAUACCCGGUUGGGAUGACGGUACCCAAAGAAUAAGCACCGGCUAACUUCGUGCCAGCAGCCGCCGUAA